This 439-nucleotide ribosomal RNA is filed under the name uncultured bacterium. RNAcentral describes it as "partial 16S ribosomal RNA". It matches the Rfam family "Bacterial small subunit ribosomal RNA", at positions 339 to 795 of the family's 1533-position model. The record is from RNAcentral.
CUACGGGUGGCACCAGUGGGGAAUAUUGCACAAUGGGGGGAACCCUGAUGCAGCAACGCCGCGUGGAGGAUGACACAUUUCGGUGCGUAAACUCCUUUUAUAUAAGAAGAUAAUGACGGUAUUAUAUGAAUAAGCACCGGCUAACUCCGUGCCAGCAGCCGCGGUAAUACGGGGGGUGCAAGCGUUACUCGGAAUCACUGGGCGUAAAGAGCAUGUAGGCUGGUUUGUAAGUUGGAAGUGAAAUCCUAUGGCUUAACCAUAGAACUGCUUCCAAAACUACUUACCUAGAGUAUGGGAGAGGUAGAUGGAAUUUCUGGUGUAGGGGUAAUAUCUGUAGAGAUCAGAAGGAAUACCGAUUGCGAAGGCGAUCUACUGGAACAUUACUGACGCUCAGAUGCGAAAGCGUGGGGAGCAAACAGGAUUAGAUACCCGAGUAGUC